AUUGAACGCUGGCGGCAUGCCUUACACAUGCAAGUCGAACGGUAACGCGGGGCAACCUGGCGACGAGUGGCGAACGGGUGAGUAAUAUAUCGGAACGUGCCCAGUAGUGGGGGAUAGCCCGGCGAAAGCCGGAUUAAUACCGCAUGAGACCUGAGGGUGAAAGCGGGGGAUCGCAAGACCUCGCGCUAUUGGAGCGGCCGAUAUCAGAUUAGGUAGUUGGUGGGGUAAAGGCCUACCAAGCCGACGAUCUGUAGCUGGUCUGAGAGGACGACCAGCCACACUGGGACUGAGACACGGCCCAGACUCCUACGGGAGGCAGCAGUGGGGGAAUUUUGGACAAUGGGCGCAAGCCUGAUCCAGCCAUGCCGCGUGCGGGAAGAAGGCC
This 385-nucleotide ribosomal RNA is filed under the name uncultured bacterium. Its description in RNAcentral is "bacterial SSU rRNA". It matches the Rfam family "Bacterial small subunit ribosomal RNA", at positions 29 to 416 of the family's 1533-position model. The record is from RNAcentral.